Long non-coding RNA from Phragmites australis (common reed), 1157 nucleotides. RefSeq lists it as uncharacterized. The transcript is spliced from 2 exons. The record is from RefSeq and is a predicted model, not a curated record. NCBI's taxonomy places the organism in Eukaryota, Viridiplantae, Streptophyta, Magnoliopsida, Poales, Poaceae.
GGGGGGGGGGAUUGCGACGGAACGGGUGGUCUCAGGCUGGCGCGGCCAUGGCUCCGUGGCAAAUGGCGACCGGGUGUGGUGCACGGUAACAACUGGCACCAAGCUGAGGCUGUGCGUGAAUUGGGUAUUCAAUGCUGCAGAGAAAAUCUUCACGGUGCUGCCUGCGUGUCUCGGAGGAUUGUACUACUCCAUAGCGACUUGCAAUCGGAGAUGUUACUGCAUGAAUUGCAGAGACGAACUGGCGAGCAGCAAAGAUGGCGAGAAAAGAAAGGGCCAAGUUUCAAGUGUGUGAGCUGCUACGAGCUGCAGAGUCAAGGUGGUUAAUGCCUCGAUGUGCGCUUGAAAAUUGCGAGAGUUUUCGACGGCAGCAGACGAGGUUAUUUAGGGGUUCUGGAGGUUGCCGGACUUAAAGGGGAUAGCGUUGGGAGAUGGCCAGUCCGGUGAGGUGAUGGAUGGAGGGCAGGGCAGGGCGGCGAGCCGGGGCCGGUGGCGAGGAAAGUACAAAAACGGCUCGUUAGCACGGUGGGGAGCCGAGGAUACGGCGGCAGUGGUGUAGCCUGAGAUGAGAGGUGGAGGAUGGCGUGGGAGGCUCAGCUCUAAUCGAAGAAAGAGAGAAAGAAGAAGUUGCAGUGUUUAAAGUUAAAAAAAUACCUUUAGACCGUUUGAUCAAGAUCGGAUAGCUGCAGUUGAUCAACGGAAAGAAAACUUCUUUUCAGUCGCAUGUACUUUAGGAACCCUUAUUUCAGACGUCGGAGGCCAUCAAAGUUAACUAGACCAGGGCACGGUCACGUAGCGAACUUUGGAGGCAAAAUUAAGGCGCCACAUGAGCGCUCUGCAGAAAAUCUCAUCCAAGUUUCGCCUGCUACAAGUUCCGGACAAGUAAUCCAAGUUGAGCCGGCAAGAUUAGCGAUACGAAUACGAUUGUACUCCGAUGGGGACCCUGUACUCGGCGUGAUAUUUUGCUAUUUGCUACGUGGAGGUCCAGUGGCUUCAAGCAAGAGGAAAGAUUCCGGUAGGUAAAGCCACUACAGAUCUGCUGCUUUCACGAGAUUAGGAGGACCGUAAACGAAUUGUUGAUUAUCGUGACAAAGUCGGUUUUAUUGAUUGUCUUAUGGUUGACGCACGGUUCUAUAUAACCGUAUAACGUGUUUGAGGCA